Molecule: long non-coding RNA, 229 nt
Organism: Cyprinodon variegatus (sheepshead minnow)
Lineage: Eukaryota; Metazoa; Chordata; Actinopteri; Cyprinodontiformes; Cyprinodontidae
Exons: 3
Source: RefSeq, a predicted model, not a curated record
GCCUCUUUUUCCAGGAUUGGGAUCUAACGUUCCAACAAAACUUUCCAGCUCAACUUCUCUACCAACAGAAUCUUUAAGUUUUCAGAGUGACUUCUCCUUCAAAGAAAAGACCAAUUUGGUCAAAAGUGUUUCAGACACAGAUGCCAAACUUCUGGUCGUUCUUCCAAAGGUAUCAGAGUUGAAAAAAUACUUUGAGAGAGCAAUCUCCAAGGAUCUGGAAAUGAACAGG